This 468-nucleotide ribosomal RNA is filed under the name uncultured bacterium. Its description in RNAcentral is "partial 16S ribosomal RNA". It matches the Rfam family "Bacterial small subunit ribosomal RNA", at positions 28 to 507 of the family's 1533-position model. The record is from RNAcentral.
GACGAACGCUGGCGGCGUGCUUAACACAUGCAAGUCGAACGGUGAAGCUCCAGCUUGCUGGAGUGGAUCAGUGGCGAACGGGUGAGUAACACGUGAGCAACCUGCCCCAGACUCUGGAAUAAGCGCUGGAAACGGCGUCUAAUACUGGAUACGAGAUCAAGCCGCAUGGUUAUGGUCUGGAAAGUUUUUCGGUUUGGGAUGGGCUCGCGGCCUAUCAGCUUGUUGGUGAGGUAAUGGCUCACCAAGGCGACGACGGGUAGCCGGCCUGAGAGGGCGACCGGCCACACUGGGACUGAGACACGGCCCAGACUCCUACGGGAGGCAGCAGUGGGGAAUAUUGCACAAUGGGCGCAAGCCUGAUGCAGCGACGCCGCGUGAGGGAUGACGGCCUUCGGGUUGUAAACCUCUUUCAGCAGGGAAGAAGCGAAAGUGACGGUACCUGCAGAAGAAGCACCGGCUAACUACGUG